CCUGGCUCAGAGUGAACGCUGGCGGCGUGCUUAACACAUGCAAGUCGAACGGUAACAGGAAGUAGCUUGCUACUUUGCUGACGAGUGGCGCACGGGUGAGUAAACUAUAGUUAAUGUGCCUCGAAGACUGGGAUAGCCACUGGAAACGGGGAUUAAUACUAGAUACACCUCUUUAACAUAAGUUAGGGUGGGAAAUGUCUUUUCGCUUCGAGAUCAGACUAUAUCCUAUCAGUUAGUUGGUGAGGUAAUAGCUCACCAAGGCAAUGACAGGUAGCGGGUUUGAGAGGAUGAUCCGCCACACUGGUACUGAGACACGGACCAGACUCCUACGGGAGGCAGCAGUGAGGAAUAUUGCACAAUGGGGGAAACCCUGAUGCAGCAACGCCGCGUGGAGGAUGACGCAUUUCGGUGUGUAAACUCCUUUUAUGAGUCAAGAAAAUGACGGUAGCUCAUGAAUAAGCACCGGCUAACUCCGUGCCAGCAGCCGCGGUAAUACGGAGGGUGCAAGCGUUACUCGGAAUCACUGGGCGUAAAGGACGCGUAGGCUGUUUAGUAAGUCUGGUGUGAAAUCCUAUGGCUUAACCAUAGAACUGCACUUGAAACUGGUAGACUAGAGUAUGGAAGGGGGAGAUGGAAUUGGUGGUGUAGGGGUAAAAUCCGUAGAUAUCACUAGGAAUAUCUAAAGCGAAGGCGAUCUCCUGGGACAUAACUGACGCUAAGGCGUGAAAGCGUGGGGAGCAAACAGGAUUAGAUACCCUGGAAGUCCUCGCCCUAAACGAUGUUCACUAGUCGACGCGAUGCUUGUCAUUGCAGUGAUGCACUUAACAGGUUAAAUAUUCCGCCUGGGGAGUACGGUCGCAAGAUUAAAACUCAAAGGAAUAGACGGGGACCCGCACAAGUGGUGGAGCAUGUGGUUUAAUUCGAAGAUACGCGAAGAACCUUACCUAGCCUUGACAUUGAUAGAAUCUGAUAGAAAUAUUGGAGUGCCAGUUUACUGGAGCUUGAAAACAGGUGCUGCACGGCUGUCGUCAGCUCGUGUCGUGAGAUGUUGGGUUAAGUCCCGCAACGAGCGCAACCCUCGUCCUUAGUUACUAACGGUUCGGCCGAGGACUCUAAGGAGACUGCCUUCGUAAGGAGGAGGAAGGUGAGGACGACGUCAAGUCAUCAUGGCCCUUACGGCUAGGGCGACACACGUGCUACAAUGGAUAGGACAAUGAGACGCAAUACCGCGAGGUGGAGCAAAUCUAUAAACCUAUUCUCAGUUCGGAUUGUAGUCUGCAACUCGACUACAUGAAGCUGGAAUCACUAGUAAUCGUAGAUCAGCCAUGCUACGGUGAAUACGUUCCCGGGUCUUGUACUCACCGCCCGUCACACCAUGGGAGUUGAUUUCACCCGAAGCGGGGAAGCUAAACUGGCUACCCUCCACGGUGGAAUCAGCGACUGGGGUGAAGUCGUAACAAGGUAACCGUAGGAGAA
This 1476-nucleotide ribosomal RNA is filed under the name uncultured prokaryote. RNAcentral's name for it is "bacterial SSU rRNA". It matches the Rfam family "Bacterial small subunit ribosomal RNA". The record is from RNAcentral.